This 746-nucleotide non-coding RNA is filed under the name Pan troglodytes (chimpanzee). The record is from RNAcentral. Lineage: Eukaryota; Metazoa; Chordata; Mammalia; Primates; Hominidae.
UGACCCCGCAUCGGGGGCCCUGGGCUGCAGAACCCAUCGAUGCUGUUGCCGUGCCCCUGGUUCUGGUGACACUGGGACCCUCCAGGUUGGGCUGAGCAGGGCCCCCCCCACCAGUGCGUACUCCAGCACCAGCGGGAGUGGGCCUGGGCAGGGGCUGAGGGAGUGACACCCAAGAGGACCUGUCCCAGCCUCCUCCUGUACCCUGGGGGUUCUCGUUUUCCUUGGCUGAGGGAAGUGGCCUCUCCCAGCUGAAACCUGGGGACAGGCUGGGCGUGAGAGCAAAGUGGUGUGAGCAGGACCCCAGGCCUUGGAAAUCCUGAGCGGGGGGAACAGGCUUUGCCUAUGACGUGCCUGGGAGCUGUCUGGGGGCCCUCCUGGGGAGCCAGGCUCACAGGUUGUUGUGUGGGACUCAACGUGGGGCAGCGUCCCGGCCAGGAGGGGGAAGGCCAUCACCCCAGGGUCUGUGGGAGGCAUAUGCAGGACAAGCUCUCGCCCACCCGGCGUGCCGAUCUGCUGCAGCCAGGGUCCCUCAGCCUUGGCCAGAACCUGAAGUCCGACCGCUAUCCCUGGGGCUCCCCAGCCAGGCAGGCACCCCCCGCUUACAGCACCAGGAGCCAAAACGGAGUCAAGCGCUCGGUGCAGGGGCCAGCCGGGGGCAGGCCUGGGGAGCCCAUCUGGCAAGGGCGGCAGGAAGGCGCCCACUCCGGGACUGUGCCUGGGCCUGCUGGGGGUCUCCAGUCAGAGAG